CUGUAAACCUACAGCAGAGGAGAGGGGACACGGCGGAGAUGGGAGGAGAAAACAGCAGAGAGCUGGCUUCUGCUUCGGUUCGGGCUUGGAGGGGAAUUAACCCUUAGACCUGCUCACAGGGGACACAGCCAGACACGGCAUCUUAAACCCCGAGCUCGGAGCAGGAAUUAGUGCCCAAGACCCCGUGGUCAGAGUCAUGCAGAAAAUCAAAUUAAACGAUCGUCGCUGUUGUUAUGGCAA
Molecule: long non-coding RNA, 240 nt
Organism: Tyto alba (common barn owl)
Lineage: Eukaryota; Metazoa; Chordata; Aves; Strigiformes; Tytonidae
Exons: 2
Source: RefSeq, a predicted model, not a curated record